GCGAAGGUGGCGGAAUUGGUAGACGCACUAGCUUGAGGUGCUAGCGCUUUGACCGGCGUGGGGGUUCGAGUCCCCCUCUUCGCA
This 84-nucleotide transfer RNA is filed under the name Pajaroellobacter abortibovis. It matches the Rfam family "tRNA". From Rfam's summary of the family: Transfer RNA (tRNA) molecules are approximately 80 nucleotides in length. Lineage: Bacteria; Pseudomonadati; Myxococcota; Polyangiales; Polyangiaceae. The record is from Rfam by way of RNAcentral.